AAGCGUGUCUAGCAAUACGUUUUCACUUUUUAUAUAAGAUACGAUAAACACAUUAAUAUACAAUUCAAACAAAACAUUACAACCUCUACAUAAUUUAAAAAGUAGUUCAAACAACGAUAUGCAGUGUUCUAUUUUGAUGACGAGUUUAAUAUCUUACAAGAGUGGUCAAGUUUAUGUCACUUAAUUUUACAUAUCGUGCUAUUCUAAACGUAUAUCUAUCAGACGUGAACCUUUAAUUACAGUAAAUCCUUUCAAAAAAGCGGUCACCGUCUAAAUAUGCUAAUAAGUGUAUUUCAUUGUACUACAUCAGCAUUGGCGCGAAUAAAGCCGAUGAAGUUCAAAUUAAAACUCGUUCGUUGAAAGGUUAAAGAAAGGUUAAAGUGGAUAAAAGAAGAUUUGUUGUUUUUGUACUUAAACUUAUACAAAUAGGAAUGCAUUUAAAGCAUAGAAAGAUUAGUCAUAUGUUUAAAACAUACAACAAAAAUCGGCUGGCUAGGUAUUUUGUUGAACUUUAAUAAGAAAGUCGAAAAUCAAAACUGUGUUAGUACAUGUGUACGUAUAAUAGCAAAUGGAAACAGUGGAAUACGACGAAGAUGGUAAAGCCGAUGACGAGACUCUUGAUUGGGUGAAUAUUUUUGUUCCCAUAGCAAUCGGUGUCCUGUUCGUGCUCGUGAUUGUUUGGCUGUACAAGACUAAAAAGGAGGUACCAGUUGAGACGCAAGAAAAAAUCGUCGCGAAAAUUCCCGUUUUAAACCGAUGCAUGACUACAGAGUGGAUUGUGGACGAAACGACUGGGAACGAAAAGGCUGGGAACGAACCGUGCGCCACGACAGAAAAUUGUAUUGAGAAAAACAAAGAAAAACAACCAUUUGCGAAAACUAAAAUCGCUCAUAGCGCUGGUUAUGAUACUUUAGUGGAGGAGAAGGUUGAGUUAGAACCUUGAAUAAUUUCGUAUAUAGUUUUGCAGUGUUAAAUAUGUUAAUACCAUCCUGCAUAUUUUUCAUAUUUUUAUACGAUGUGGAUAAAGAUUUCGACGAUAUUGUAUUUUUAUAAGCUAGUAUCUUAUUCAGAUUUGAUUUUUGUAUUCAAUGCAUCAUAUUGUUCAUGCAUUUUAAUCAGAGCUCAGUGUAUUGCAGGACAUUUUAGAUUUGGUGUUUGUUCUUGUUCAGAUCUGAGCGUUUGACAGUAUAAUAUAUUUAUUGUCAAAAACGUGUUCCAAUGAUCAACGACUUUCACCUGUUGUUCCAUGUAUACACGUUUAAAUCUACACGCCUGUUGAAACGUAUAUUUUAUUUCGCUAUGUGUAUGCAUGUAUUGAAGUUGUGCGCGUGUUGUUUUGUAAAUAAAAAUGUUACGAAAUGUU
Molecule: long non-coding RNA, 1363 nt
Organism: Dreissena polymorpha
Lineage: Eukaryota; Metazoa; Mollusca; Bivalvia; Myida; Dreissenidae
Exons: 2
Source: RefSeq, a predicted model, not a curated record